This 406-nucleotide ribosomal RNA is filed under the name uncultured bacterium. RNAcentral describes it as "partial 16S ribosomal RNA". It matches the Rfam family "Bacterial small subunit ribosomal RNA", at positions 30 to 526 of the family's 1533-position model. The record is from RNAcentral.
AUUGAAUGCUGGCGGCAGGCCUAACACAUGCAAGUCGAGCGAGUGGCGGACGGGUGAGUAAUGUCUGGGAAACUGCCUGAUGGAGGGGGAUAACUCCUGGAAACGGUAGCUAAUACCGCAUAUCAUCUUAUGUGUCCAGAUGGGCUUAGCUAGUCGGUGGUGUAACGGCUCACCUCGGCGACGAUCCCUAGCUGGUCCGAGAGGAUGACCAGCCACACUGGAACUGAGACACGGUCCAGAAACCGACGGAAGGCAGCAGUGGGGAAUAUUACAGAAUGGGCGCAGUCCUGAUGCAGCCGUGCCGCGUGUGUGAAGAAGGCUUUCGGGUUGUAUAGCACUUUAAGCGGGGAGGCGUUACCCGCAGAAGAAGCACCGGCUGACUCCGUGCCAGCAGCCGCGGUAAUAC